RNAcentral lists this ribosomal RNA (323 nucleotides) under uncultured eukaryote. RNAcentral describes it as "partial 18S ribosomal RNA". It matches the Rfam family "Eukaryotic small subunit ribosomal RNA", at positions 1470 to 1796 of the family's 1831-position model. The record is from RNAcentral.
CCCUUAGACGUUCUGGGCCGCACGCGCGCUACACUGACGAAGGCAACGAGCUACUCUUCACCGAAAGGUGUGGGUAAUCUUUUGAAACUUCGUCGUGCUGGGGAUAGAUCCUUGCAAUUUUUGAUCUUAAACGAGGAAUUCCUAGUAAGCGCAAGUCAUCAACUUGCGUUGAUUACGUCCCUGCCCUUUGUACACACCGCCCGUCGCUACUACCGAUUGAGUGAUCCGGUGAAUAAUUCGGACUGCAGCAGUGUUCAGUUCCUGAACGUUGCAGCGGAAAGUUUAGUGAACCUUAUCACUUAGAGGAAGGAGAAGUCGUAACA